RNAcentral lists this ribosomal RNA (558 nucleotides) under uncultured Cercozoa. RNAcentral describes it as "SSU rRNA". It matches the Rfam family "Eukaryotic small subunit ribosomal RNA", at positions 564 to 1115 of the family's 1831-position model. The record is from RNAcentral. Lineage: Eukaryota; Cercozoa.
GUGCCAGCGCCGCGGUAAUUCCAGCUCCAAUAGCGUAUAUUAAAGUUGCUGCAGUUAAAAAGCUCGUAGUUGGAUUUCUGGCUUGGAUAUAUUUUGCCGGCCACGGUUUCGUGUGUUAGUGCUUGAUAUUCUGGCCAUCCUUCCAAUGGCUAUUCAUCCUUCUUCAUUGAGGUGGUGAGUGGUAUUGGAUCUUUUACUUUGAAAAAAUUAGAGUGUUUCAAGCAGGCUUUAUGCUAUGAAUACAUUAGCAUGGAAUAAUAAUUUAGGACUUCGGUUCUAUUUUGUUGGUUUCUAGGACUGAAGUAAUGAUUGAUAGGGAUAGUUGGGGGUGCUAGUAUUCAGCGGCCAGAGGUGAAAUUCUCGGAUUCGCUGAAGACUAACUUAUGCGAAAGCAUUCACCAAGGGAUGUCUUCUUUAAUCAAGAACNCAAAGUUGGGGGAUCGAAGACGAUCAGAUACCGUCGUAGUCUCAACCAUAAACUAUGCCGACUAGGGAUGAGUGAACGUUGCAUUUUCGACUUCAUUCGCACCUUAUGAGAAAUCCAAGUCUUUGGGUUCC